GUGGCAGAAAUGCACGGGGAGCAGAGAAAGAGAGGGCACACUGUCUCCCAUUUAUUUUUAGUAUUUUAUUUAGGGAUGGGUUCACUACCAUGCUGUUCUUAGGCUCUCCUGAGGUAGCAGAGGUGCAGAGAUGGCAGCGAUCCUGAGGCAAGAGUACUGAAAUUUGUUCUUUAAUUUACUUGAUUAUCCAAGUUGGGCAUUUGAAGAAACACAUCCAUGUUUCCCCAUCGCUUAGUGCCACGGGGUAAAAAGAAAUCUAAAAUGCAAGGAGGGGAGAAGAAGAAAAUGCCCCACAUACCUCAGACAAAUCCAAGUCAACUCCUCACACCACCCAACCACCCAUCCCAGAAGAAUGAAACCACACAACACACCAGAAUGCUCGUUAUUGACUCAAACCUCCUCAGAAUGCAUGCGGGACAAGGAGCCCAAUGGAA
This 434-nucleotide long non-coding RNA is filed under the name Vulpes vulpes (red fox). RNAcentral's name for it is "lncRNA (ENSVVUG00000004273.1)". Lineage: Eukaryota; Metazoa; Chordata; Mammalia; Carnivora; Canidae. The record is from RNAcentral.